Molecule: non-coding RNA, 3719 nt
Organism: Microcebus murinus (gray mouse lemur)
Lineage: Eukaryota; Metazoa; Chordata; Mammalia; Primates; Cheirogaleidae
Source: RefSeq, a predicted model, not a curated record
UAAUAAACAAAAAUAAAAUAAUGAAGCUGUUUGAAGUACUGUUGAAGUAAUCUCUAAAGUGAGACAGUUUUCCUAAGAAAAUGUGGAGAAUUUUGACCUUAGAGAAGCUACAGAGACACUUGAACCCUGGAAAGGAAAGCUAAUAUUUCUUUAUUAUACAUUUAGGGGAAUACAUUGCACUCUUAAAUGAUGUAUUACUUAAGAUGUUGAAUUAAAUUAUGUAUUUAAGCAACACUUACUGGGACUUGGCUGAUGUUCAUCAGUCUUUGAAAAUAUUAUACUAAAAUUGAGUUGUUGUCAAGUGAAAAGUGCUCAUUUUAUGUAAAACCAUUAAGUAAUACUAUCUCCCCCUCAUCCAUUCUAAUAUAUUUUGAAACAUGUAAAGUGUUAUACUUUUAGGGGAAAAUACUGUAGAAUAGUGAAAAGAGUGUGGAAUUAAGACAGCUUGGGUUUAAGAUCUGACUUUAUAGCUGGGAGAUCUUGAACAAUUGAAUUAAGCUCUUUCCUGGCCUUCCUAAAGCACUAUUAUGAUUAAAUGAGAAUGUAUCUGGGAAAAAGCUCUGAAAACCAAGGAGUACUCUGUAAAUUUCUACUAUUUCCAAACUAAGUCCAGUCUCAAAUAUUAGCUGAGAUUACUUAGGAAAUACUCACUUGGGAAACGUGGGGAGUGGGGAAUAGUUCUUAAAAAAAAAAAAAAUCAUAAAAACUACCCUUUACUGAGUACUUAACUGAAUAACAGACAAAAUAGUAAGCAUUUUUAAUACAGUAUUUUGUUUAAUUCAUGCAAAAACUAAAUGAGGGAAGUAUCCAUAAUCGUAGUCCCUUACACGUGAAGGAGAGGUAAGGCUUAGUGACCUAUUCAAGUUCACAAACCUCGUUAGUGUCCAAAGUUUCAUGUUCCCAACUGUUACUCCACCAAUCUUUCCUUUACGAAAGAACAGAUAUAUAAUAAUGCAAAAUAUAAUAGUAUCUGAUUGUCCCAAGUGCUUUUUUAGACUUUAGGAAAGGAAGAGAUGAGGGGUUGAUUAAAAAUAUAUAAGCAUUGAAAAAGACCUAGAGGUUGAAUGAUCUAAGGUCAAAACAAGUUCCCAGUUCUGUAGAUGAUCAGGGUUUUUUUCUUGAUAUUGUUUCCUUUGAACUGGAACGAUUCGUAUGUGAUAGCUAUAAGAGUUAUACCUAUGUUUGUAUUAUUCUUGAGUUCAUAGAGCCUUUCACAUGUACAAUUUUAUCUUUUCCAAAUGGCCGCAUUUGUUACUCAGAUAACUCAGAGAAGAGGGAGUGUGGUAGGAGAAUCCUUCAGAUUAUUUAAGGAAAUACCUGAGCAGAAAUAGAAGAGGAACAAGACAUGUUUAGGAGAUGAUAAAGUCUGGGAGAAGGUUAGCCAGAUAGAACACAUCUCUCUGGUUUCUCUUCUGAGAUCAGCUGGGAGAAAGACCUGCUUUUAAAGGACUCUUGAUGAGGUUAGGCCCACUCAGAUAGUCUGGAUAAUCUCCCUGUUUUUAAGAUGAACUGAUUUGAACUAUAACUUUGCAAAAUCCCUUCACAUGGGCACCUAGGUUAGUGUUUAACUAAAAGAAAGUGUAUGUACACCAGGGCCAGGAAUGUUGGGAGGCCAUCUUAGAAUUCUGCCUUUUUAAGGAUUUAGUGAAUGGUGAAGUGAAAGUGAAUGAUGAACAGCUCCAUGGACUUUUAUUUUCUGCUUAACUGUAGACUACUGGUGACCUAAAUGUUAACUCAGUUCUUUGUCUCAUACUGUUUUAUCUAUUGGAAAGUGGGAACAAAUGUUAUAGAUAGGCCAUGUGGUCUUUUUGCUACCACCCAGGUGAACCAUGGUUUAAAACAAAACAAAAUAAAAAACUUGCAGAAUCCUGCUGUGGGUAUCCAAGAUACGUUUCUAGUGGCUAGAAUAAAUGGCUUUUUAAAAUUCAGUGUUAUAAAUAUAUCUACAUUCUCUGGCCUCCAAAAGCUACUUUAGGUGACAACAGAGCAGAACUAUAAGUAUUAAACCAUUUUCAACUAUAUAAGAAAUUUCAUCUGUAAACCUACGUCGUCUUAACAAUUCCACACUCCUCCCGCUUCACUACACUGGUUCUCUUGUGGUAAGUAUCAUCAUUUCACAUGUUUUGUAGAACUAGAAAGUGGCCUUGAAGAUGAUCUACUCCAGUGGUUUUAAACUUUUCUGACUGUAACCCACAGCAGAAAGAACAACAUUACAUCCCAUCGUACACAUAGGAAAUAGAUCCCUUGAGCUUCCAGAAAGCUCAGACAUGUGGAGCACUAAAACAUUUGGAGCACAUUGAGUUCUUUUUUAUGCAACCUACUAAAUUGAUAUUACAACCAAUGGUUUGAAAAACACUGAAGAUACCAUUGUUUAAAACCUUUUCUUUCAGCUCCUCUCCCAGCAGCAGAGGACUUCCUGUUCCUAUUUACUAAAGCUGGGAGAGGCUCUCUCUACCCUGAAGAAGCAAGGCACAGUCCUUUUGCUAUACCAAGGAACGAUAGUACCCGAGUUCUGGUUUCAGCUGUGGGGUUUUGAGCUGAAACACAGCCCCAGUACCAGUGGGGUAAGGUGGGAGACUUUAUUUGGAAAUUUACUUCCAAAUCAAGAUAAAAUUAUAGCUGUGAAAGUUGUUCGAGCUACCCUAGUUUUUGACAUCUAAACUGUCUGGCCUCAGCUUCUGCCCAUUGACUACCUUGAGUAGAGCUUGCCAUGUUUUUAUCUGCAGCUGUAAGAAAACAAGUGUUCUUACAUUUUGGAACUAUAAAACUUUAUUCUACUUUGAGGUUAUGAAAUCAUUUACCUUGCUGUUCAUGUACAGGGAUUACCCCUAAUCUUCAGGGCACGCAUUCCCAAGACCUUCAGUAGAUGCCUGAAACGGGGUAGUACUGUAUAAACAUACUGCAUUUUUUUCCCUAUACAUAUUCAUAAUAAAGUUUAUAAAUAAGGCAGAAUAAGAGAUUAACCACAACUAAUAAUGGAAAAGUUAUGUAACAGUGUACUGUAAUAAGUUACGUGAAUGUGGUCUCUUACUCUCCAAAUAUCUUUUUGUACUAUGUUCACCUAUUUUUGGACAGCAGUUGACUGUGGGUAACUCAAACAUGGAAAGCAAAACUGGGGGGAGGGGACUAUAAUCUCAGUAGUACUAGCCAAAAGUCUAAUGAAUAUGCCAAGACUAGUAAAAUAUAUUUUUUCUUUAUAUCUGAUUUGUUUUUCUAAUCAUACUUCCUAGAAAAAGGUGAUGCAUUUAUAAGAAAUUAAGAUUAUACUAAAUCUACCUUUUACCGUGUCCCCCAGGUCAACCAAUUUUAUGAGUGCAUAGUAUUCCAUUAUAUACUUGCACCAGACUCGCGCUAAUCCAAACGAAACAAGUAAUAAAAUACAGAGGUCAUUUGCACUUGUGCAAGUUUUUCUGCAGGAUCCAUUCUACAAGUGGGAUUGGAGGGGCACCAUGUAUAUGCAGUUGUAAUUUGAUAAAUAUUGCAAACCGCCCUCCAGAGCAGGUAGUUUAUAAUCUUACUAGCUAAAUAUGAGCUUUUAACUAGCAUUGUUGUAAAGUUUUUUGAUAUACGACAAUCUUUUAGGUGGAAAAUUCAAUUCCUGUGAAAAUGGACAUUUCCAUCUUCAGAGCCAUUUGUAUAUUCUGCAAACUGUUUCUUUUAAGUAUUUUUCUGUUGGGCUUUUGGUGGUUUGUAGGUAAGGGGUGUGUGUGUGUGUGUGU